ACCGUCACAAGGGGGAGCCUGAUGAGGCUGAGAAUGAGAAGACUCUAAACCCUAGAACCUGUUACGUUAGUACGUGCGUAGGAAUUGUGAUGGAGUAGAUA
This 101-nucleotide non-coding RNA is filed under the name Melissococcus plutonius. RNAcentral describes it as "TPP sequence". It matches the Rfam family "TPP riboswitch aptamer (THI element)". From Rfam's summary of the family: Vitamin B(1) in its active form thiamin pyrophosphate (TPP) is an essential coenzyme that is synthesised by coupling of pyrimidine and thiazole moieties in bacteria. The previously detected thiamin-regulatory element, thi box was extended, resulting in a new, highly conserved RNA secondary structure, the THI element, which is widely distributed in eubacteria and also occurs in some archaea. Lineage: Bacteria; Bacillati; Bacillota; Bacilli; Lactobacillales; Enterococcaceae. RNAcentral also lists the same sequence under 1 other name. The record is from RNAcentral.